This 65-nucleotide transfer RNA is filed under the name Lema sp. EMHAU-15083113. Its description in RNAcentral is "tRNA-Phe". The record is from RNAcentral. Lineage: Eukaryota; Metazoa; Arthropoda; Insecta; Coleoptera; Chrysomelidae.
AUUCAAAUAGCUUAAUCAUAGAGCAUAGUAUUGAAGAUACUAAGGUAAUUUAAUAUUUUUGGAUA